RNAcentral lists this transfer RNA (73 nucleotides) under Ixodes scapularis (black-legged tick). RNAcentral's name for it is "tRNA-Ser for anticodon GGA". It matches the Rfam family "tRNA". Rfam says of the family: Transfer RNA (tRNA) molecules are approximately 80 nucleotides in length. Their secondary structure includes four short double-helical elements and three loops (D, anti-codon, and T loops). Further hydrogen bonds mediate the characteristic L-shaped molecular structure. tRNAs have two regions of fundamental functional importance: the anti-codon, which is responsible for specific mRNA codon recognition, and the 3' end, to which the tRNAs corresponding amino acid is attached (by aminoacyl-tRNA synthetases). tRNAs cope with the degeneracy of the genetic code in two manners: having more than one tRNA (with a specific anti-codon) for a particular amino acid; and 'wobble' base-pairing, i.e. permitting non-standard base-pairing at the 3rd anti-codon position. Lineage: Eukaryota; Metazoa; Arthropoda; Arachnida; Ixodida; Ixodidae. The record is from Rfam by way of RNAcentral.
UCCUGGUUGGCUCAGUUGGUAGAGCGCUCCAGUGGAAAUGGGGAGGUCCUAAUUUCGAUACCAGGACCAGGCG